Molecule: ribosomal RNA, 429 nt
Filed under: Chloroflexota bacterium
Lineage: Bacteria; Bacillati; Chloroflexota
Description: Chloroflexi bacterium partial 16S ribosomal RNA
Rfam family: Bacterial small subunit ribosomal RNA
Source: RNAcentral
UGGGGAAUAUUGCACAAUGGGCGCAAGCCUGAUGCAGCCAUGCCGCGUGUAUGAAGAAGGCCUUCGGGUUGUAAAGUACUUUCAGUCGGGAGGAAGGUGGUAAGGUUAAUAACCUUAUCAAUUGACGUUACCGACAGAAGAAGCACCGGCUAACUCCGUGCCAGCAGCCGCGGUAAUACGGAGGGUGCAAGCGUUAAUCGGAAUUACUGGGCGUAAAGCGCACGCAGGCGGUUGAUUGAGUCAGAUGUGAAAUCCCCGGGCUUAACCCGGGAAUUGCAUCUGAUACUGGUCAGCUAGAGUCUUGUAGAGGGGGGUAGAAUUCCAUGUGUAGCGGUGAAAUGCGUAGAGAUGGGGAGGAAUACCGGUGGCGAAGGCGGCCCCCUGGACAAAGACUGACGCUCAGGUGCGAAAGCGUGGGGAGCAAACAGG